RNAcentral lists this long non-coding RNA (552 nucleotides) under Citrus x clementina. RNAcentral's name for it is "Citrus clementina (C. clementina) long non-coding RNA (CCLE_LNC001281)". Lineage: Eukaryota; Viridiplantae; Streptophyta; Magnoliopsida; Sapindales; Rutaceae. The record is from RNAcentral.
CAAAUUAUAAUUCUGUACAUAAGGAUAAAAUUGUAAUUUAAAAUAAUUUACUCCCAAUCCAAGACAAAGUAAACAAAUAAUUGGGAUUCUGGUUGACAAUCCAUACUUUCAUUUAGUAUAAGUAAACACCCUACUCCCACUCCCACUCCAUACUCUUAAUCCAAAGAUUCUCACUCCUCAGGAUUCCCACUCCAAUCAAAAAAGUAAACGCAGCAUAAAUGUUGUAGAUGAUCUAUCAUUUGUCAUGCUGUAAGCAAACGACAAGACAUUCACUAAGAAAUAAGUUGGACGGCAUAUUAUUGAUGCCAUUCAUGCAACUGACAAGUAUAAAUAGUACGUGUUAGUGCAUGUUAUGGAUGAUUCGUUGUGUUCUUCAGAGAAAUGAUGAGUCAUUAAGCUCAUAAGCGCUUCAAUAACAUGACAUCUGACUGGUUGAUCGAAAAAUGAUCUGUCAUCUGCAAAGUUAAAUUCCAAUUUACUUGAAUAAAAAUAAGAUGAUAAUUGUUUUUUUAACAGUUACAUAAAAUAAUAAUAAUCACAUUUGAGUUCUAA